RNAcentral lists this ribosomal RNA (432 nucleotides) under uncultured bacterium. Its description in RNAcentral is "partial 16S ribosomal RNA". It matches the Rfam family "Bacterial small subunit ribosomal RNA", at positions 29 to 507 of the family's 1533-position model. The record is from RNAcentral.
GCGAACGCUGGCGGCAGGCCUAACACAUGCAAGUCGAACGAACUCUUCGGAGUUAGUGGCGGACGGGUGAGUAACACGUGGGAACGUGCCUUUUGGUUCGGAAUAACUCAGGGAAACUUGUGCUAAUACCGAAUGUGCCCUUCGGGGGAAAGAUUUAUCGCCAUUAGAGCGGCCCGCGUCUGAUUAGCUAGUUGGUGAGGUAACGGCUCACCAAGGCGACGAUCAGUAGCUGGUCUGAGAGGAUGACCAGCCACACUGGGACUGAGACACGGCCCAGACUCCUACGGGAGGCAGCAGUGGGGAAUCUUGCGCAAUGGGCGAAAGCCUGACGCAGCCAUGCCGCGUGACUGAUGAAGGUCUUAGGAUUGUAAAAUUCUUUCACCGGGGACGAUAAUGACGGUACCCGGAGAAGAAGCCCCGGCUAACUUCGUG